CGACAGCCUUGCAGGCCCAGCUUCCGGGUUCCAACUCCAGCUCCAUAGCCUCUGAGCCUGGUGUCAGUCUCUCUGUGUUUCUUUUUACUGAUCUGUAAAAUGGAUAUAAUCGCCUUUCUCUCCUUCAAAGAACACCUGCAAAAUAGUUGCGUAUUUGUGAACUAACUUCCAGCCACCUUUGGACGAGAAGGCCAAGUGUGUUUUCAGUUUUCUUCUCAGUGCCUGCACGAGGCCAAACUCACCAGCUAAAGAUUCCACCGUGACUGGGUCUAAUCAGGCCACUGGCUGAUCGGCCGAGGGAAUUUGUGAACAAGACCUUGUUUCUGCCCAGCUGUCCUCUGUUGCCCCAGGCUCCGUCCCAUUCUCCAAGCCCAGCGCAUUCCUGCCCACUCCCCAUCACACCGGGUCAAGCAAGCGUUUUCCAAAGGUUUCCUGCCUCUUGCAGGUACCGGGUCUGGUGCGGGGAGCAGAGAGGUGGGCUGAGCACAGGCUCUCCUCAUGUGGUACCUCAAAGACAAAGCAAGCAGUACAAGGAGACAGGGAAGAAGAUCCCUGUGGACUUGGACAAUCAGGGAGGACUUCCUAGAGGAGCUGGGCUGAUCCACCCUCCACCUGGUUGGAGCGAGGAACCUCACCGCUGAGGAGUGAGGCCGCUUGGCCUCACAACACAGAUGAAACAGAAGCAACCAACUUGUUUCAAAAGGACGUGAUAGGGAUAUUCUUGAAAAUAGCUGCAUUAUAGGACAUUUCUGGAACCCAAUCCUUGAAUUCUCUCUCGUUUUUUCCAUGUUUUUAAAAAAAAUUUUUGAAAUUGAGAUAAAAUCCACAGAACAUAAAAUUCAUUCCUCCUCGUUUGUAAAUCUUUUUUUCUCCUCUCCUGCUGUUGGAAGCAUUUUGGCGCAAGGUUGUCACCCUUGCAAGAGCAGUAACUCUGACAGCAGAGAAACAAAGGUCAGCGGAGAGUUUUUAAAUGGCAAUAAUGACGACAGGAAUGAGUCGUCUUGCCGCUCAUUGGAGAGUUGGUGAAGCCACUCUUUAGUCAAAAAGAUGGGAUUCCUGGCAGAGUUACACUAUGUCCCUUACUCGUUAUGUGCGUAAACCACCAAAAAACAUAGGAGUAAAAUAAAAAGAGAUGGGCUGUUUCUUUGAAUCUUCUUCCAGCAGAAAAGAGGAGAAACUGACUUUGGGGUGUUGCUGUAGCUUUUUGUUUUGAAUAAUAUGUGAUGUCCUGUCCCACAAAUGAAAGCAAAUUGGAUCAUCAAAUUGCCUGAGUCACCUGAGAAACCACAAUUUAAUGCCACCUUCCAAUACCCAGAGCUCCUAUCUCUAAAUCAAAUUCAGUAGAAAAACAAGUAAAAAAAAAAAUUCUUAAAUAAUUAUGGCAGUGGGCAGAGGUUUUUUUUGUGAUCAAAAUGGUUGAUAACGCUUGUAUAAAGAGCGAAAAACAUCUCCUAUAAAAAUUUAAUCCGAGUGUUUUUGUUGUUAAAAAUCUCAUGUGAAUCAUGAAUUAUGAAAAACAUGACUGGGGAAAGCUGUGAACAAGUCGGUUCAAGCAUCUCAGGCAUCUGAUGAGCUCACGCCCGGUCCAGCCUGGCUUCUGGAUGGAGGAUGUUAUCAGGUUCAGAGCUCGCUGACGGCCUAACGCUGGCUCCAGGCCUCACCCGCUGCUUUCACACCGGCGCCAGAUGUUUGCAAAGAGCUCAGGAAGUGGCGGAGAACCGAGCUCGGGCUGGUCACCCUCGGGCGGUGGCUGGUGUUGCUUUCCCAAUCUUCAAGACACAGAAAAAGAGACCCUGAAAACGAAGGACACAGCAAGAUGGACUUAGACCUCGUGACCCUUGACCUUUGACUCAACUGAGGAGUGAACCUGGUUCCUUCCUUCGUUCCUUCCUCAAACAUUUAUGCAACACCUACUAUGUGCCACGCCUAGAGGUGAUGAGAAUGCAAAGAGAAAUGACAAGGUCUCUAUCUUCAAACAGCUCAGGCCAUGGGGAGAAACUGAAAAAUAACUGAAAUCCGGUUUGAUUCCGGGAUGGAAUCUGUGUGACGUGCGUGGGGGCAAAGGGCAAAAGACGGCCUUGACCCGGAGAGUCGGGGUUGCCCACCUGCCCCAGGGAAAAUGAGGGAGAGCCUGCAACAGCAGCAGGAGGAAGGCCAGGUGGGAGCGUUUCAGGAUGCUCACCCAGGUGGCCCUGUGGGUGUGUCAAGUGGAUGAUUUGGUCCCUGUGUCUCGUGUCCUUGAAAGCACAGAAGCCGAGAUAGAGGGAACGAGAGGACUUGAAAAGCAGAAGGGCCUGGACCGUUGGUCCCCAUCUUCCUCUCUUUCUGAAUGCAAAGCCAGCAUCCGGUCACUUGAUGUCCGCUUCCAUCAUGUCACCAUUCUUCAUGAUCUAGAAGCCAAAAGCGAGAACUAGGCCAUGCAGAAUUGAUUUCUUAAUCACCUUCUAUUCUCUGUUUUUCCAGCCUCAUCUCAGACCUGGUGCAACCCAGCCCAGCCUGGAGGAGAAGUCCAUGCUCACCACGCUGGCUAGAGGGGCGCUGCCUUCACGGAGGCGUGGGUCCAUGGAGCCAGGCCUGCUUUGAGAGUUUGGCCAGAGGACUUGAGACGUCCCCAGCACACCAAGGGCAGACUAAUGACAUCAAAGUGGAACCACAAUGAUAAGUCCCAGCUCCCAAGGAUUUGAGCUUCUCCUGUGGCACCAGACCACGUGCCAGGCAAUUGAAACAUAUACUACUUAAUUUAUCCCCCACCGCACAUUUGAAGUAGUCCCUCCUUCAAAUCACAAAGUCGCAGAACACACUGUCUACCCCUCAAAAUGGGUAGGCAGUGGUUAGUAGAACUCAAUAAGGAUGCCGGACCACAUGCUAGACAACUCUUUGGCAAAGUGACCAGCUCCUGUGCACUUGCCAGCUGGGAUCCGGUAAAACCACAAAUUAGCACAGAUCCCAGACCUUCGGGGUUGGUCCCGAAUCCUGAAACCCACAAACAUUAAGUCCACCUGUUCUGAGGGGCUACAGAAUUAUCACCACUUUAGAUGAGGAAGCUACUGCCUUAUUUGCCGAGAAUCCUUCCCGGUUGCCACCCAGGCUCAGAAACCACAAGUCUCCCUGGAGAGCAGGGGCUCCCUCCCAGGGUACCCUGUGAGCCGUUUGCAAGAGAGUGUCUAAUCCUUAACUGCCCUUUUAUUCUCUCUGUGCUGCAGGAAACAGGGGUCAAACUGUCCCACCUUUCCAGGGCAGCCUUUUAGUGGCUCUCCCUUAGUCCUCUGAGCUCAAUGCCCUCAGGUCAGACUGCAAAGGACCAUUGCCUCAGCCCUAGCAAGAGAUGCUGUUGUCGAAUAAGACUGGCCAUUGACAACUUCAUUCAUUCAACACCUCAUUAUUGACAUAGUCAGGCCCUGGAGACAAAACAAUGAGAAGGAGGGAGACAGGCCCGGUUCCCGCCUCACCACUCUUAGAGGUUGGCCAGAAUGACGAGCGACCCAGGGAUGCUUUCAAAGCUUGGUGUGAUGCGUCCUGAUGACAGGAAUAAAAUGGACCAAGUCCUGACUCAAUUC
This is a long non-coding RNA of Equus caballus (horse), 3557 nucleotides long. The record is from Ensembl. Lineage: Eukaryota; Metazoa; Chordata; Mammalia; Perissodactyla; Equidae.